ACACCAACAGCAACAACCAGUUUUAUGUUUUGAUUUUAUCUCUUCUGCUAACUGUGUCGGAAUCUGUACGUAUACCCCAUUUUCACUGAGGAAAAAGGAUGAAUGUGAACGAUUUGCCUCCCGAAAUAUUGCAGUUGAUACUGUCCUUCCUGAAUCACAAAGAACGACUCGAAACGGCUCAAGUAUGCAAGCGCUGGUAUGAGUCAUGCUUUAGUUCGAAAUUUACAAAUGAAAUGCAUAUUAGAUUGAAUAUGCCCGAUCAUUUGGCCGAGUGCGAAAAUUUGAGUCUGUUGAAAUUAGUUAAAAGUUUUACAUUUUCCUUCAAUGAAAGCCAAAUAGAGCCAGAUGUGCAUGAGAAAUUUGUGGAAACCCUUCGCAAUACGAAAGUUCAAUCCCUUAUCGUAUGUGGUGAACAAAAAGUUGUGGAUCAAUUCGUUAGUUCAUAUUUGGUCUAUAUGGAUUCGUUAAAAUAUUUAACGAUUGUUGCUCAUGGCGCUGAAAAUUCACUUCCGAUAAAAAUUCACCACUCGAAUAUCAAAUAUUUGAAUUUAGAAACUCCUAUAAAUGCCGAGGUUGAAUGUCCUCAGCUAACGGUUUUAAAUCUAACUGAUUCCGAUAAAGUUACAUUAAGCUCAGUAAUUUCUCAAAUACAUACAUUGAUUAUCAAACCCAUCACAAUACCGAAAUUUUCUAUAGCUGAGCAUAUCUCUAGCGGAUUAAAUGCGUCCAAGUUAAAGAUUUUACAAGUUACCGAACCAUUAGGAGAAAAGUUACCGUUAAUAAAUCUUUGUUUGAAAUACACACCCUGUUUAGAAGAGCUCUACAUUGAUGCUGUCAGUUUCGAUGGAUUCAUUCUAAAUCCAGAGUUUGGUCAUCUGAAAUCGCUUUUGAAAUUGGAACUGAAGCAUGUUCACAUUGAUACCCAAGCAUUCCAAACUUUGCUUAAAGAGCUUGCUAGUCUUAAGGAACUUUGCCUGUUCAUGUGUGAAUUCAGUGGACGGAUAGCCUUAUUUGACCAAUUGCAUUCAACAAGUAUUGCAAGAUUCACGUGGAUCGUUUCAAAUGAUGUUUUAAUACUGCCAAAAUUUGUCAAACUCACCUACCUUAAAAUAAGUACGCGGGCAGACUUGACUUCACAACUCAUAGCCAAUAUCGCGCAUACAUUCAAGGACUUAGAAACUUUCCAGAUUGGACUGGGUCCAGGAUUGAUAGGGAAGCUGCCCUCGGAUUCAAUCUCCUAUCUAGCAUCCCUUAAAUCUCUAAGAAGAAUCAAGUUCGAACGUCUUAUUUUGGAAAAUGUGGACUGGAAUUCGCUGUGCCUUGAAAACAUUUUAACCGUAAAUCUGAUUUAUUCCGCCAUCACUGGAAACGAUGUCCUGGGAAUGGGCCAAGCAUUCAGCAGGCUUCAAAGACUGCAUUUUGAAGGAUGCUACCUGAAACAGCCUACAGCGGUGUUUGAUAUAUAUGCCAGAGAAGACGAUGCUGACCAAAAUGGACUGCGGAAGCAGUUUCCACGUUGUUGUUUUUCCUACAAUGAUUGCCACUUAGAAGAGUAUGAUAUGUGCGGGGGAAGGAAGAAGCCUGGUUUUGUACAAUAGACGUCUCUAUUUUACCAUUUAAAUCAUUACGAAAUAAACCGAGAUAUGCGUGAAGUGAAGCCCCUGUUGAAAAGAUCCGAUGACUGUGAAGCAUGCCAUAGAAUUACACUCAACUAAGAGGGGAAGACCCAUGGAAUACUACGCAAUUUACGCAGAAGACUCAGGCGAUUACACGAAUACAAUUGUACGAUGCAACAUCGGUGUAAUCUGUUCCGAUUGGUGCCAAGAGAUGACAAUGUCCGGAUACAUCGCUCUCAGUUUCCGCUCACAUGCUCCAUCAACUGAUCCAUCCGUUCCGCUGGUGUCUUCCACAAUGUGGCAGUUAUCGACAUUGAGCCGCUUCAAGGACGGAAAAAUUCGACCCAAGCCCCGGAACAUUGAAAACGGUAGCAUGAAGCACCCGAUAAUCUUGCACGGAUUGUAAGAGAUUUAAGGUACCGCAGCUGAUGAAGCCGUUGAAAAGCACACUCGUCUAGCUGUAUUAACGAGAAAAAGUGCUCAGUAGUUGGUUUUGCGUUAACCUACAUAACAUUGAACUAUCGACUAUCGCUAACAGACGAAAUGUUUUCAGAGGUCGUGUUCUUUUGCUUCCAUAUUUCGAUAUAGUAGAACAUUUCCUAGAAUUAAGAAUACAUACCUGGGCUCUAUACUGUAACGUCAAAUGUUCCACCGAGGAAAAGUUCUGGAAAAUCCUCAGCAAUAUAUCGUUUCCGUAUUUAAAACCGUGAGCCAGCUCCAACUCCUUCAGGCUGCAAAAGUUGUGUUCCAGCAGCACAUUGUUGAUAAUGUUGAUCAAUUUAAGCCGCUGCAACCCUACCAUGCGAAUGUGCAGGCCCGGUAGAUCAUUGAUUAUUUCGCAAUGUUGUAGGACGAGAUUCUGAAAUAUAACAAUAGAACUUUUCUCUAAACCAUAUCAAUUUAAUAAAUUAAUUACAAUUUACUUUAACAGGUUGAA
Uranotaenia lowii is the source of this 2553-nucleotide RNA transcript. RefSeq lists it as uncharacterized. The record is from RefSeq and is a predicted model, not a curated record. NCBI's taxonomy places the organism in Eukaryota, Metazoa, Arthropoda, Insecta, Diptera, Culicidae. The transcript is spliced from 5 exons.